RNAcentral lists this ribosomal RNA (497 nucleotides) under uncultured bacterium. Its description in RNAcentral is "partial 16S ribosomal RNA". It matches the Rfam family "Bacterial small subunit ribosomal RNA", at positions 28 to 507 of the family's 1533-position model. The record is from RNAcentral.
GAUGAACGCUGGCGGCGUGCCUAAUACAUGCAAGUCGAGCGAACGGACGAGAAGCUUGCUUCUCUGGUGUUAGCGGCGGACGGGUGAGUAACACGUGGAUAACCUACCUAUAAGACUGGGAUAACUUCGGGAAACCGGAGCUAAUACCGGAUAAUAUUUUCAACCGCAUGGUUCAAAAGUGAAAGACGGUCUUGCUGUCACUUAUAGAUGGAUCCGCGCUGCAUUAGCUAGUUGGUAAGGUAACGGCUUACCAAGGCAACGAUGCAUAGCCGACCUGAGAGGGUGAUCGGCCACACUGGAACUGAGACACGGUCCAGACUCCUACGGGAGGCAGCAGUAGGGAAUCUUCCGCAAUGGGCGGAAGCCUGACGGAGCAACGCCGCGUGAGUGAUGAAGGUCUUCGGAUCGUAAAGCUCUGUUAUUAGGGAAGAACAUAUGUGUAAGUAACUGUGCACAUCUUGACGGUACCUAAUCAGAAAGCCACGGCUAACUUCGUG